GUUGAAGCAUGAUCGUAAGGACAUGUGGAGCGCUUAGAAGUGAGAAUGCCGGUGUGAGUAGCGAAAGACGGGUGAGAAUCCCGUCCACCGAUUGACUAAGGUUUCCAGAGGAAGGCUCGUCCGCUCUGGGUUAGUCGGGUCCUAAGCUGAGGCCGACAGGCGUAGGCGAUGGAUAACAGGUUGAUAUUCCUGUACCACCUAUAAUCGUUUUAAUCGAUGGGGGGACGCAGUAGGAUAGGCGAAGCGUGCGAUUGGAUUGCACGUCUAAGCAGUAAGGCUGAGUAUUAGGCAAAUCCGGUACUCGUUAAGGCUGAGCUGUGAUGGGGAGAAGACAUUGUGUCUUCGAGUCGUUGAUUUCACACUGCCGAGAAAAGCCUCUAGAUAGAAAAUAGGUGCCCGUACCGCAAACCGACACAGGUAGUCAAGAUGAGAAUUCUAAGGUGAGCGAGCGAACUCUCGUUAAGGAACUCGGCAAAAUGACCCCGUAACUUCGGGAGAAGGGGUGCUCUUUAGGGUUAACGCCCAGAAGAGCCGCAGUGAAUAGGCCCAAGCGACUGUUUAUCAAAAACACAGGUCUCUGCUAAACCGUAAGGUGAUGUAUAGGGGCUGACGCCUGCCCGGUGCUGGAAGGUUAAGAGGAGUGGUUAGCUUCUGCGAAGCUACGAAUCGAAGCCCCAGUAAACGGCGGCCGUAACUAUAACGGUCCUAAGGUAGCGAAAUUCCUUGUCGGGUAAGUUCCGACCCGCACGAAAGGCGUAACGAUUUGGGCACUGUCUCAACGAGAGACUCGGUGAAAUCAUAGUACCUGUGAAGAUGCAGGUUACCCGCGACAGGACGGAAAGACCCCGUGGAGCUUUACUGUAGCCUGAUAUUGAAAUUCGGCACAGCUUGUACAGGAUAGGUAGGAGCCUUUGAAACGUGAGCGCUAGCUUACGUGGAGGCGCUGGUGGGAUACUACCCUAGCUGUGUUGGCUUUCUAACCCGCACCACUUAUCGUGGUGGGAGACAGUGUCAGGCGGGCAGUUUGACUGGGGCGGUCGCCUCCUAAAAGG
RNAcentral lists this ribosomal RNA (1052 nucleotides) under Staphylococcus aureus. RNAcentral describes it as "bacterial LSU rRNA". It matches the Rfam family "Bacterial large subunit ribosomal RNA", at positions 1249 to 2297 of the family's 2925-position model. Lineage: Bacteria; Bacillati; Bacillota; Bacilli; Caryophanales; Staphylococcaceae. The record is from RNAcentral.